Molecule: long non-coding RNA, 388 nt
Filed under: Spirodela polyrhiza (greater duckweed)
Lineage: Eukaryota; Viridiplantae; Streptophyta; Magnoliopsida; Alismatales; Araceae
Description: long non-coding RNA (SPOL_LNC000207)
Source: RNAcentral
GGGGACGGCGACGCUGUCCCUUUCAACGUUUUCGGGAUAGUUUGAAUAGUAGGGGGUGAAUAAACGACCGGUUACUUGGAGGUGACCUGGCUCCAUGAUGUCUACAUACCUGUAAUCAUGAAUAUUGUAUGGAAAGCUAGUAUUUGUUCCGAAAUUUAGUUAAUCGUAAUAAGUAUUAAAGACUAUAGCACAUGUGUAUGCGGCGGGGGAGUGUGUAGAACUUGUCUCGUGAACGUUGUAAAGGCUGAGAACGGUGAGGUUGUUUGAUAUGAUUCAGAUAAACGUGAUCGAUAAUAUGUGUUUUCGUAUGGUAACAUGGAAAAUAUAGGCUACGGAACUUAGUGGUGACCAACGACAUGGCUGGUGUAUUUUUUGAAGGAUUAAGUGG